Molecule: ribosomal RNA, 254 nt
Filed under: uncultured bacterium
Lineage: Bacteria
Description: partial 16S ribosomal RNA
Rfam family: Bacterial small subunit ribosomal RNA
Source: RNAcentral
UACGGAGGGUGCAAGCGUUAUCCGGAUUCACUGGGUUUAAAGGGGUGCGUAGGUGGGCAGGUAAGUCCGUGGUGAAAUCUCUGAGCUUAACUCAGAAACUGCCGUGGAUACUAUUUGUCUUGAAUGUUGUGGAGGUGAGCGGAAUAUGUCAUGUAGCGGUGAAAUGCUUAGAUAUGACAUAGAACACCAAUUGCGAAGGCAGCUCACUACACAAUUAUUGACGCUGAGGCACGAAAGCGUGGGGAUCAAACAGG